AAUCAGAUACACAACUGGCGGAAACAGUAUUUGCGAACCAAAGAGACAGCAACUGCUGUGUAGGACAACCUACAGGGAGUGUAUGGUCAUUGAAAAGCCGACCGUCUGGGCAAUGUUA
Molecule: non-coding RNA, 118 nt
Filed under: Lachnospiraceae bacterium MD335
Lineage: Bacteria; Bacillati; Bacillota; Clostridia; Lachnospirales; Lachnospiraceae
Also listed under: 1 other name
Description: Lachnospiraceae bacterium COE1 ZMP/ZTP riboswitch aptamer (pfl RNA motif)
Rfam family: ZMP/ZTP riboswitch aptamer (pfl RNA motif)
About the family: Previously known as pfl RNA. ZMP is also known as AICAR.
Source: Rfam by way of RNAcentral